RNAcentral lists this unclassified non-coding RNA (482 nucleotides) under plant metagenome. Its description in RNAcentral is "partial contains 5.8S ribosomal RNA, internal transcribed spacer 2, and large subunit ribosomal RNA". The stretch from base 1 to 105 matches the Rfam family "5.8S ribosomal RNA", at positions 50 to 154 of the family's 154-position model. The record is from RNAcentral.
GAAAUGCGAUAAUUAAUGUGAAUUGCAGAAUUCUGUGAAUCAUCAAACUCUUGAACGCAACCUGCGCCUAGCAGCUAUCUGCUAGGCACACUUGUUAGAGUGUUGACAAUAUUCUCUAUCUCUUCUUAUUCUUCUCUCUCUUCUCUCUCUCUCUCUCUCUCUCUCUUUUUUUCCAUUUAUUUGGAAAAAGAGAAAAAGGAGGAGGAGGGAGGAGGAGAGAAAGAAGGGGUCACGUCAGUGCAGUUGUACGCAACAGCUCUGAUCAGAAGUAUGGUUUGGUUUGGGAUGAAAAAAGUUCAAAGUAACCCACAUAAUCUGAUAUGGAAGUCCUUUUUUUUGUGACUAAAAUCACCUCAGUUAUCGGUUAUUCAAUGAGCUUUUUUUUAAAAAAAUCCUCCAACUACUAAUAUGGAUACAAAAAAAAAAAAACAACAACACAAAUUCAACCUCUAAUCAAGUGGGACUACCCGCUGAAUUUAAGC